UUGGCACUCAGUACUGACAAACUAAAAGAUUCCUAUUUAAAUACUCUUUAUUUCUAUUUAUUUGCAGGUCAGUAUGGUCCUGGUUUGUCCACACUUCUGGCUGGGUUUCUUCAUAGUCCCCAUUGUGUGCCUGAUUCUAAAUCUAUUAUGGACAUCGAUUAGAAACACCUACAACAGAACGUUCCUAGAAGAGGUUCGUGAGAUGGAAAGUAGCAGAGUUCAAGGACCGCAUCUUCCAACAGUGCUUGAAAAGGGUGACCUAAAGCCAGGUUAUGACGGAUUUACUCACACGGUGAAGACAAGUCACCUCCAGCUGUCUCCACCCAGCCCGCUGCACCAGGUUGUCUUCCAGGACGAAUCCGUUAAUCGAAGUGGCCCGCAUGGGUACGCGUUUUCUCAGCUAGAAGGAGUCUGUUCUUCUGACUCUACGAAACUCAAAACCAGCCAGGAGCUUAAGUACAAUCUCUGCUGAGUCCAGCUAUGGGUGAGGCUUGGACCCCCACCCGCGGUGUUCUCAGGUCCUUCCCCGAGACUGCAGCCCGUGUCAGCACCCCCAAGUGCUCACCUCUUGUGACUCUGGCCAACUUGUUUAUGUUAUCGACUGAACCUCAAUCUUUGGAUAUAAAUAAUGGGGGGAGCCUAUUUGUUUUGUAAUUUGCCUUCAGUUUUUACCCAGCUGUGGGAAGCUGCAAAGAUUCAGCUGCUUGGCCAUUUGCUUGCCGGCAGGGGCAAGGGACCGGACAAGUGACGACCCAACGUAAAGCUCAGUGAGGGAACACGACACCCAACUUGUUUACUUUUUUGCAGUUGUGAGAUAAUCAGUUCAGUCUGAAGUAUAGAAUUAAAAGCAUUUUGUUUCACCAAAAUUUAAGCUCUGGUCUGAGUGGUUUUGGGAGGAAAGGUAAAGAAUGUCAGGAUGCAUAAUAAGCCUCCUUACUUACCUGCAAAAGAGUCACACAGAAACUUCGUACUUUGAAAAUUCGCAGAUUAAGGUAGGGCAUAUAAAGGCAGAAUAUAAAAUAUUUUUCUAAGUAGGUUGUCCUGUCACUUUGUGAAUCAUUUUUAAUUUGUACAAUAUUUGCACAGUAUUCUUGGUUUCAAUAAAUUCAAAUAGGUGGG
This 1119-nucleotide long non-coding RNA is filed under the name Suricata suricatta (meerkat). Its description in RNAcentral is "lncRNA (ENSSSUG00005001030.1)". The record is from RNAcentral. Lineage: Eukaryota; Metazoa; Chordata; Mammalia; Carnivora; Herpestidae.